UCGGGGAGGACGCUCACCACUUUGUGGUUCAUGACUGGGGUGAAGUCGUAACAAGGUAGCCCUAGGGGAACCUGGGGCUGGAUCACCUCCUUAUACGAAGAUAC
This 104-nucleotide ribosomal RNA is filed under the name Vibrio splendidus. RNAcentral describes it as "partial 16S ribosomal RNA". The stretch from base 1 to 93 matches the Rfam family "Bacterial small subunit ribosomal RNA", at positions 1441 to 1533 of the family's 1533-position model. The record is from RNAcentral. Lineage: Bacteria; Pseudomonadati; Pseudomonadota; Gammaproteobacteria; Vibrionales; Vibrionaceae.